Long non-coding RNA from Hypanus sabinus (Atlantic stingray), 503 nucleotides. RefSeq lists it as uncharacterized. The record is from RefSeq and is a predicted model, not a curated record. Lineage: Eukaryota; Metazoa; Chordata; Chondrichthyes; Myliobatiformes; Dasyatidae. The transcript has 3 exons.
GGACUAUUCCCAAGAGGGAAAAUUUGAGGGCAGUAGAAGAAACUUAUACAAAUGUUUGUAGUUUCUUGAAGCCUUUAGCACUAGAGAGGCAUUGAUGAAAAGUUUCGCCUGAUAUUUUUUUCUCCAUUUCAAAGGCUGCUGGUCCUUGUGAGGAUAUACUUGAAGAGCACAUUCAACUAACCUCUCUCUUUUGAAGUUGGCUCCUAUUCAAUGCUCCUAUUGCUUGGACAAGAUUAUGCCUUCAGCAGGAAAACAACAGGAGUCUCCAUCUCGAGAUUAUUACUGCUUAUCCGAUGAUGUCCCAGACUCUCAUGAAGAAUAUGUCCCAUCAGCUACUUGGGGCAAUCUAUCUGAACAAUGUCUACAUAUCUGGCAGAAGUAAAAGGAUACACUUAAAUUUGAAGCUUUCCACCAAUUAUUCUCCAGCUGCUGUGACUUAUCAAAAAGCACUUCAGCAGAAUGCUAAGCAAGAUAAAGAAACCAAAGUGAAUUCAAGCCUGCAG